ACUUGGAAAAAAAGAAAGAGAGAUCUCUUCUCUUGUAAUUUCUAUUCCUGUUCCUUAAGUUAUUACAAGUACACUUGUAACUUCUAUUUUUAUUUACCUUUCUAUUUGUGGAGACACGUCUGUUGCAAGUUUUGAUUCGCUGAAAAAGACAGUUAGUGACGAACUUCUCCUUUGAGCAGGGAGGAGUUAUCCUAAGGUAGGUAAAGAAGAAAAUGUCUGACACUGAAGCUGGCUAGCGAGCCACUGGUUCUGACACUGCAACGCUGAUCCCAAACACAAACAGUGGAAGCUUAGAAGGUUCAAGCAACAAUAGGCCACAAAGACCACCUGGUUCAGAGACAACACGAGGUUGUCGAGAUCACGCUCGAUGUACAACGUGAUUCAGUGUCGGUCCAAGGCAUCAGGCCAGUGCCUGCGGAAGCUGUGUGGCUGACACGAGGAAGAGAUACGACAGAAGUAAGAGUACCGCUGCAGUGGCACUUAAGGGCUUGCAGUUUGUGACUGCCAAAGUUGCCGCUGAUGGUGCGGCUGCUGUGGAGAAAUCAUUCAAUCACCUACACGUUGAUGGUGUCCUGCUCCGUUCCAGGUUUGGGAAAUGCAUUGGUAGGUAACUUGAACAGUUUCAGUGAGUAUUCCUUGGAUAUAAUUUGUAGUAUAGUUCAAGUAGUGAUUACUUUUGAUUGUGUGUGCAGGGAUGAGGGAUGGAAGGGCCCGACGAGUUUGCAGUGCAGAUGUUCGAUUCACUGGCAAGGAAGAGAGGGACAGUGAAGUGCUGACCAAGGCGGAGCUGAAAGAGCUCUGGGAGCAACUCAGUCACCAGGGUUUCGACAAUCGUCACCAAACAUGCAUCGACAUGUUAGUAGUUCACUCCUGCUAAAUGUUUUUUCAUGGUUUCCUUCACUCUUGAUAUAUAGGUGCACUUUGUUCAGGGUUGACAAAAUGCUGACGGAAGAAUCACAUCCGAGGAUGUUAAGGAGGACAGUCACAAGAACCCAAACUGAAAAUAUAGUCUUAGUGUGUAAAUGUGAAGCAUAUAUUCCGCUAUUAAUUAAGCUAAUGAUGACAUGCUUUCACAGAUUAUCGCCCUUAGUGCAUCAGCAAACAAACUUUCCAAGAUCAAGGAGCGAGCGGAUUAGUACACAGUGCUCAUCAUGGAAGAAUUUGACCCUAACAAUUUGGGCUACAUAGAGGUAUGUGUAUGUCCAAGAGAAGCCUCGCCAUCUCGACGGACGAUGUCUCACCAGUAAGUAAUAACUUGUACCAUCGACCAUGUAUCCACUAAAAGUAUCGAUUUAGAUAUACUGUAUUUGUGUUUCAUUUAUACAGUAUUAAAGAAUGCACUGGAUAGAAAAAUAUGAACGGAAGUCAACGGAAAAGCAUCGGAUACCAACCCGCGUAGUGACUGCGUAGUCCCUCUUGCCUUCCACAAGCCGGCGCGCCGGUAGCGGUCAGCCUGCGUGGUCUUCCUUGGCACGGAGAUGGCGAGGCCGGCGACGUCGUCGGUGAGGAAGUUGGGGGUGUUGGUGACGCGGAUCCGGUGCUCCCGGCACUUGGGAGGUCAACGCGGUCGGUCCCCACAGAGAAGGACGGCGGCGCAUCGAUGCGGCAUCGGCGUUGCCAACGACGGCACCGAUGGCGGAGGCGUUGGCGCGAAGGAACUCGGCGCGCCCGUCGGGAGGGGAUUCCCUGGAGCGGAAGAGGCGGAAGCGAAGGUCGAGUUCCUGCUCCAGGUAAGCGUUCCUCCGGAGCAGCAGCUGCAGCACGCCCGGGGUCGCCUUCGCCAACCGCCGGGAGCACCGAGGACGGCAGCGGCUGGCUGUUGUGUGGUAGGUGGUGGCGCUCCGCGCCGGCGCCGGCCUUUUGCUAGCGUUUUAUUUUUCUUUUGCUUUUCCAAGAGCGGUGGGGAGACAGUGGAAGGAUAAGAUUUGGUGAUGUGUGAGGUGCAAGAGGGAGGCACGAGGCAAAGAGCGUCGGGCAUGUCCAGUUCUUUCUCUUUUUUCUUUCUUUCUUUAUCGAUGGC
This 2020-nucleotide ribosomal RNA is filed under the name Triticum aestivum (bread wheat). RNAcentral's name for it is "partial small subunit ribosomal RNA". The record is from RNAcentral. Lineage: Eukaryota; Viridiplantae; Streptophyta; Magnoliopsida; Poales; Poaceae.